Molecule: long non-coding RNA, 639 nt
Filed under: Heterocephalus glaber (naked mole-rat)
Lineage: Eukaryota; Metazoa; Chordata; Mammalia; Rodentia; Bathyergidae
Description: lncRNA (ENSHGLG00100040238.1)
Source: RNAcentral
CCUCCCGGCCCCCUUCCCUCUUGUUUCCUUCUCUGGGGUCAUCUUUUACCUCCCUGCUCAUUUGUGUGGCUGUUUCCAGAAUGGUCAAGUCCACAGACCCCAGGUUCAUUCACUUGGGGUUGCACCUGUGAUGACCCUGGGCUCUUAUAGCUUGAUGAUAUCCCAUGGUCAGGACAGCAGAGUUGAGUUAUCCAUUCAUCUACAAGGACAGCUGAUCAAUUCCAAACACUGGCAGUGAUGAAAAGAGUGGCUGGGAACAUCUGGAUGGAGAUCUCCUCACUUGGAUAAACACCUAAGAGUUCCAUUACUGGGUCAUGUGCUAGGGAUACAUGUAGUCAUUUUCCCCAUGACAGUCUCACCUAUCAUAUUUUCCCCAGAAAGAGCAGAGAAACUUUCUAUUUCCCUGUGCCCCACAGCUAAGCAUGGUGCCUGGGAAGUGGCAGCAACUGCUGACUGACCACAGGUGACUUGGAAAUCUCCAGCACCAAGUUGGAGCCACUAAGAGGCUCUGAACCAGUUUCCAGCCCAUGUCUCAUGUGCCACCUUUCUUUGUACCACAGCUACACCCAAGCUACUUCAUCCAAGUGAUCAUCCUGCCUCAGCUUCCAAAGAAUCUGGAAUUGCAGCUUGGAAUUGCAC